Molecule: ribosomal RNA, 277 nt
Filed under: uncultured bacterium
Lineage: Bacteria
Description: partial 16S ribosomal RNA
Rfam family: Bacterial small subunit ribosomal RNA
Source: RNAcentral
GAUCAACGCUGGCGGCGUGCCUAAUGCAUGCAAGUCGCACGGAGGCUUCGGUCUCAGUGGCAGACGGGUGAGGAACACGUGGGUCACCGACCCUGGUGUGGGGAAUACCCCGCCGAAAGGUGGGCUAAUACCGCAUACGCUUCCUGGGUGGAUGGGCCGAGGAAGGAAAGUCGCCGGGCAACCGCCGGGCGGCGCACGAGGACGGGUCCGCGGCCGAUUAGCUGGUUGGUGGGGUAAUGGCCUACCAAGGCGACGAUCGGUAGCUGGUCUGAGAGGA